UACGUAGGGUGCUAGCGUUGUUCGGAAUCAUUGGGCGUAAAGCGCGUGUAGGCGGUUAGUUAAGUCGGGUGUGAAAUCCCUGGGCUUAACCGAGGAAGUGCAUCCGAAACUAACUAGCUGGAGAAUGGUAGAGGAAGGUGGAAUUCCAAGUGUAGAGGUGAAAUUCGUAGAUAUUUGGAGGAAUACCGGUGGCGAAGGCGGCCUUCUGGGCCAUUUCUGACGCUGAGACGCGAAAGCGUGGGGAGCAAACAGG
RNAcentral lists this ribosomal RNA (253 nucleotides) under uncultured bacterium. RNAcentral describes it as "partial 16S ribosomal RNA". It matches the Rfam family "Bacterial small subunit ribosomal RNA", at positions 524 to 776 of the family's 1533-position model. The record is from RNAcentral.